CUACGGGCCGCUGCAGCGAGGGAUAUUGCACAAUGGGGGGAACCCUGAUGCAGCAACGCCGCGUGGAGGAUGACGCAUUUCGGUGUGUAAACUCCUUUUAUAUGUCAAGAAAAUGACGGUAGCAUAUGAAUAAGCACCGGCUAACUCCGUGCCAGCAGCCGCGGUAAUACGGAGGGUGCAAGCGUUACUCGGAAUCACUGGGCGUAAAGGACGCGUAGGCGGGUUGGAAAGUCAGGUGUGAAAUCCUACAGCUUAACUGUAGAACUGCACUUGAAACUUCUAAUCUAGAGUAUGGGAGGGGGAGAUGGAAUUAGUGGUGUAGGGGUAAAAUCCGUAGAUAUCACUAGGAAUACCUAAAGCGAAGGCGAUCUCCUGGAACAUUACUGACGCUAAGGCGUGAAAGCGUGGGGAGCAAACAGGAUUAGAUACCCCAGUAGUC
RNAcentral lists this ribosomal RNA (439 nucleotides) under uncultured bacterium. RNAcentral describes it as "partial 16S ribosomal RNA". It matches the Rfam family "Bacterial small subunit ribosomal RNA", at positions 339 to 795 of the family's 1533-position model. The record is from RNAcentral.